UCGAGCGAAUCGAUGGGAGCUUGCUCCCUGAGAUUAGCGGCGGACGGGUGAGUAACACGUGGGCAACCUGCCUAUAAGACUGGGAUAACUUCGGGAAACCGGAGCUAAUACCGGAUACGUUCUUUUCUCGCAUGAGAGAAGAUGGAAAGACGGUUUACGCUGUCACUUAUAGAUGGGCCCGCGGCGCAUUAGCUAGUUGGUGAGGUAAUGGCUCACCAAGGCGACGAUGCGUAGCCGACCUGAGAGGGUGAUCGGCCACACUGGGACUGAGACACGGCCCAGACUCCUACGGGAGGCAGCAGUAGGGAAUCUUCCGCAAUGGACGAAAGUCUGACGGAGCAACGCCGCGUGAACGAAGAAGGCCUUCGGGUCGUAAAGUUCUGUUGUUAGGGAAGAACAAGUACCAGAGUAACUGCUGGUACCUUGACGGUACCUAACCAGAAAGCCACGGCUAACUACGUGCCAGCAGCCGCGGUAAUACGUAGGUGGCAAGCGUUGUCCGGAAUUAUUGGGCGUAAAGCGCGCGCAGGUGGUUCUUUAAGUCUGAUGUGAAAGCCCACGGCUCAACCGUGGAGGGUCAUUGGA
Molecule: ribosomal RNA, 585 nt
Filed under: Peribacillus simplex
Lineage: Bacteria; Bacillati; Bacillota; Bacilli; Caryophanales; Bacillaceae
Description: bacterial SSU rRNA
Rfam family: Bacterial small subunit ribosomal RNA
Source: RNAcentral